RNAcentral lists this long non-coding RNA (8491 nucleotides) under Nicotiana benthamiana. Its description in RNAcentral is "long non-coding RNA (NBEN_LNC034197)". The record is from RNAcentral. Lineage: Eukaryota; Viridiplantae; Streptophyta; Magnoliopsida; Solanales; Solanaceae.
CUGAACAAAGUCCCGCACCCCAUGUGGCCUCCCACCACCCUCCAUAGUUGUGGUCGGCUUUACAGCAGCAACCAAACGGCAGUAAAAUACACACCUAAAUCAUCACGCCUCACCACCUCAAAACUCGCCAGAAAAAGAACCAAUGACUACCCAUUAUGAGACAGCAGUGAAAGCGCACAAACACACAUACAAGAAUAGAAAAAUCGGUCAGAAAGAAAAUAAAAAACAAAAGCUAAAAACGUCAAAUCGAGGUCCCGUUUGAGGUGGCUUGAAUCCAUCGCUGCUGGUUGUCCGAGGUUCGGUUCCAGUUGUUGCUUAUCAAGGACCUACUCGUUGGAUUCGAUUUCACGAAAUUGAGGUCAAAGAUUCUUUCCCAGUUUUGUUCUUUUAAAGCUUAUGUCCGGUAAUAUGAUUCUGUGAAUUCCUUCAUUUUUGAUUAUUGAAUAGAAUAUUUAGACUGAUUUUAGCUACGUAGGUUGAAUGGCUAAUCUCUUAUUUGAGCUGAGAGACAGAUAUCAUUAGUUAGCUAAGCGAUUUAAUAGGUUGUAGAACCAAAAAUUGAACAUGAAGAAGAAUUGGACCUUAAACAUAUUACUACAUUUAUUUAAUUGCCUUUUAACAUUGUUAUUAUUAUGUUUAGGCCUUCGAUACUGGUUAGACAAGCCUUAGGAUGUUUCUUAAUUUUGGGGCGAAAGGUCAUUCCCUUAGUUAAAUUUAACCGGGGAAUGACUCAAAGGAUUUGUAUAUAUUUUAUCCUAUUUAUGCCUCGAAGUACAUGUAAAUGAAGGCCAAAGAUUGGAUGACAUGAGGAAGCAUAGAAUAGAACUUUAAAUUUUCUUUUAUUUAUUUUUAUCUUUUUAGGUUAGGAUAACCUCUAGCCUCUUGUGUGUUUAUUUUGUUUUUGUGUUUUUACCUCAUUUGAAUAUUUUGAAAGCCGAUUAGAUGAAGUAUGCAACCGUACUAGUUAUGGGACUUGGGGAGUGCCUAACACCUUCUCCCCAAGUCAAAUGAACCCAUUUACCCUAAUCUCUGGUGCAAACUUAGUUUUGGAGUCUUGAGUGUUUUGAAAGGAAUAAUAUUUGCUAAAAAUGGUGACCUGGCACACCAAAAACAAUGCUAGGUGGCGACUCUGAGUUAUUUCCUUUUGAACACAAAUUUUUUUCACUUUUUAAUUAAAAACCCCUUUUCACGCAUUACUAAAUCACUCUUAUUUUUUUAAAUAGGUUAUUGAAGGUUUUAAAAAAAGUGUGACACUACAUGCGAGGAGGUUAUGGAUAUUGCCUGAGAGAUUGAGUUUGUUCGCCGUCGGGAGCUAGAGGAGAGAGAGGCCAAGAGGCCUCGAGAAUCUGGCAGUUAUAGUGGUGCUCCUUCGAGGGGGCAGUUUCGGCAUGGUAGAGGCCGUCCAUUUAGGCUUGUUCGGCCAGCACGCCAUGUUAUCAUGGGGUGUCAUCGAGUUAGGGUUCUCACAGUUCACAUCAAGUCCAGUCAUCACUUAGUGUCCUCCCAGCUUAGAGUUCUUCCCGUACUCUGUCAGUUCAGGGUUUUUCUACGCCAGGCGCAUCUACUAGUCACUCCAGUGCGAAGGGUUCCCUUCAGUCCUCUUCCCCAGCACCUGGGAGUUGUUAUGAGUAUGGCAAGGUGGGCCACAUGUGGAGCCAGUGUCCUCAUCGUGUUGCUAGUUCAUCCCAACAGAGGGGUCAGUCAUUGGCUUCAGUGCCAAUUGCUCCAUCACCACCCACCUAGCCAUCUAAGGAUAGAGGUCAAUCAGCCAGUGGUCGCCCCAGAGGGGGAGGUUGAUCAGGGUGCGGUCGGGCCCGUUUCCAUGCUCUUCCAUGCAAAACCGAUGCUAUUUCUUCAACUAUUGUUAUUACAAGUAUUGUUUCAAUUUGGCACAGAGAUGCCUCUGUAUUAUUUGAUCCUGGAUCCACCUUUUCUUAUGUGUCAUCAUACUUUGCUCAUUAUUUGGAUAUGCUCUGCGAGUUUCUUGCUUUACCUAUUCAUGUAUCUAACCCGAUGGGUGAUACUGUUAUUGUAGAUCGUGUGUACCAGUCGUGUGUGGUGAGUGUUGAGGGUCUGGAGACCCUAGUUGACCUUUUAUUAUUGAGUAUGGUAGAUUUUAAUUUCAUUUUAGGCAUGGACUGGUCAUCUCCGUGUCGUGCUAUACUAGAUUAUCAUACUAAGGUAGUCACUUUGGCUAUGCCGGAUGUGUCAUUGAUCGGGUGGAGAGGUGUGAUCGAUCAUGUUCCUAAUAGAGUGAUCUCUUUCUUGAAGGCCCAACGUAUGGUUGGGAAGGUUUGUCUUUCGUAUCUUGCCUUUGUGAGGGAUAUCGGAACUGAGGCUCCCUGAAUUGAUUAUGUUCUAGUUGUAAGGGAUUUCCCUAAUGUAUAUCCUGUAGACCUGUCGGAUAUUCCCCCUGACAGGGAUAUUGAUUUCGGUAUUGACCUGGUGCCGAGAAUUCAGCCCAUUUCCAUUCGAUCGUAUCUUAUGGCAAUAGCGGAGUUGAAGGAAUUGAAGUAGCAGCUUUAGGAAUCCUAGAUAAGGGGUUCAUUCAGCCUAGUGUGUCACCUUGGGUGCACCCGUUCUAUUUGUGAAGAAGGAGGAUGGCACAAUGACAAUGUGUAUUGAUUAUAGGUAAUUGAACAAGGUAACAAUUACGAACAAGUAUCAUUUGCCUCGCAGUGAUGAUUUACUCGACCAGCUUCAAAGAGAGAGGAUAUUCUCCAAGAUUGAUCUCCGUUCAGGUUAUCACCAAUUAAAGAUCAGGGAUUCGAAUAUUCUUAAGAUGACUUUCAGGACCCAAUAUGGUCACUACAAGUUCUUGGUGAUGUCUUUUGGGAUGACUAAUGCCCUAGCAGCAAUCAUGUAUUUGAUGAACAUUGUGUUCCGGCCUUGUCUUGAUUUGUUUGUCAUAGUCUUCAUUGAUGAUAUUCUGGUAUAUUCACGCAGUCAGGAGGAGCACGCGAAGCAUUUGAGGGUGGUAUUGCAGAGACUAAGGGGGAGAAGCUCUAUGCAAAGUUCUCCAAAUGUGAAUUCUGGCUUAGUUCAGUGGCUUUCUUAGGGCACGUGGUGUCCAGCGAGGGUAUUCAGGUUGCUCCAAAGAAGAUAGAGGCGGUUUAGAGUUGGCCUAGAUCGUCCUCAGCUACUAAGAUUCGUAGUUUUCUUGGUUUGGUGGGCUAUUAUUUCCAGUUUGUUCAGGGAUUCACAUCUAUCUUAUCGCCCUUAGCCAAAUUAACUCAGAAGGGCGCUUCAUUUAUAUAGUCGGACGAGUGUGAGGAGAGAUUUUAGAAGCUCAAGAUAGCUUUGACCAUAGCUCUAGUGUUGGUUUUGCUAUCAGCUUAAGGUUCAUAUACAGUGUAUUACAAUGCUUCGCGAGUAGGGAUUGGUUGCGUGUUAAGUAGGAGGGUAGAUUUAUUGCUUAUGCUUCUCGUCAGUUGAAGCCCCAUGAGAAGAACUACCCCGUUCCGCUUUAGAGUUGGCUGCCAUAAUUCAUGCAUUGAAGAUUUGGAAGUGUUACUUGUAUGUAUCUUGUAAGGUAUUCACUGAUCAUCGCAGUCUUCAGUAUUUGUUCAAGAAAAGGAUCUUAAUUUGAGGCCGUGGAGAUGGUUAGAGUUACUUAAGGAUUAUGACAUCACUAUAUUGUACCAUUUGGGAAGGCCAAUGUGGUGGCCGAUGCCUUGAGCCGAAAGGCAAUGAGUAUGGGGAGUUUGGUAGAUAUUCCAGUUGGGGAGAGACCUCUUACAGUUGAUCUUCAAGCCUUGGCCAAUCGGUUCGUGAGGUUAGAUAUUUCGGAGCCCAGUCGAGUAUUGGUUUGUGUGGUUUCUCGGUCUUCCUUAUAUAAGCGCAUCGGAGAGCAUCGGUAUGAUGAUCCGCAUUUUCUUUUCCAUAGGUACAGAGUUCAACAUGAUGAUGCCAGAGAUGUGACCAUUGGUGAUGAUGGGGUGUUGAGGAAGCAUGGCCAAAUUUUGUGCCCAAUAUGGAUGGGCUUCGGGAGUUGAUUCUGGAUGAGGCCUAUAUCUCACAGUAUUCCAUUCAUCCGGGUGCCACAAAGAUGUAUCAGGAUUUGAGGCAGCAAUAUUGAUAGAGGAUAAUGAAGAAAGAUAUUGUGGGACUUGUAGCCCGGUGUCUGAAUUAUUAGCAGGUGAAAUAUGAGCAUUAGAUACCGGGUGGCUUACUUCAGCAUAUGGAUAUUCCUAAGUGGAAGUGGGAGAGAAUCAUUAUGGACUUGGUUGUUGGAAUUCCACAGACUUUGAAGAAGUUUGAUGCUAUUUGGGUGAUUGCGGAUCGGCUGACCAAGUCCGUACACUUCAUUCAUAUGUGUACUGCCUAUUCUUCAGAGCAAUUGGCAGAGAUCUAUAUCCAAGAGAUUUUUAUCUUGCACGGUGUUACGAUUUCUAUCAUUUUUGAUAGGGGUACUCAGUUUACUUUACAGUUUUGGACGUGCAAAGAGAGUUGGGUACUCAGGUUGAGUCGAGCACACCUUUUCAUCCUCAUACGGAUAGGCAAUCCGAGCGUACUAUUAUGAUAUUAGAGGACAUGUUACGUGCUCGUGUCAUUGACUUUAGAGGAUCAUGGGAUGAGUUUCUACCGAUGGCAGAGUUUUCUUACAACAAAAGCUACCGGUCGAGUACUCAAAUGGCUCCAUAUGAGGCUUUGUAUGGGAGGCGGUGUAGAUCUCCAGUUGGUUGGUUCGAACCCGGUGAGGCUAGGCUAUUGAGGACUGAUUUGGUGCAGGAUGCUUAGAAGAAGGUGAAGGUGAUUCAGGAGAGGCUUCACACAGCGCAGUCGAGGCAAAAGAGUUAUGCCGAUAGGAAGGUUCGAGAUGUGUCCUACAUGGUUGGUGAGAAGGUUUCGCCCAUGAAGAGUGUUAUGAGAUUUGGGAAGAAAGGGAAAUUGCGUCCUCAGUUCAUUGGGCUUUUUGAGGUGCUUAGGAGGAUUAAGGAGGUGGAUUAUGAGGUUGAUUUUCCACCCAGAUUGUCGAGUUUGCAUUCGGUAUUUCAUGUUUAUAUGCUCUGGAAGUAUAUUAGGGAUCCGUCUUAUGUUCUGGAUUUCAGCAUGGUUCGGCUGGAUGAUGAUUUGACCUAUGAUGUGGAGCCAAUAGCUAUUUUGGGUUGCCAGGUUCGGAAGUUGAGAUCAAACUAUAUAGCUUCAGUAAAAGUGAAGUGGAGAGGUCGGCCCAUGGAGGAGGCUACCUGGGAGACCGAGCUUCAGGUAUGUUUCUUGACUCGUUCGAGGACGAAUGUUUUUUUAAGUUGGGGAGGAUGUGACAACCCGACCAAUUGACUCAUGAGUUACCACUCCAUUUUUUCCCAUUUCUACUUCUUUAGGCUUUGUAAUCCGUGUUUUUUGGCAUCGGGUUGGUCGAAUCAAAUCCGGAAUGAUUUGAUAAGGUUUGAGACACUUAGUCUCUUUUAAGAAGGUUUAAGUUGGAAAAGCUAACCGGAUGUUGACGUAUGUGUUAGAGGGCUCGAAUGUGAGUUCUGAUGCUUCGAUUAGCAUCGGGAGGUGAUUUAUGACUUAGGAGUGUCAUGGGAAUGGGUUUGAGGUCCGAAGUAGAAUUAGGCUUGAAUUGGCGAAGUUGAUAUUUUGGCGAUUUCCGGUUGCUAGGCGAGAUUUUGAUAUAGGGUUCGGAAUGGAAUUCUGAGAGUUGCAGUAACUUUGUUGUGUCACUUGGGAUUUGUGUGUAAAAAUUUCAGGUCAUUCAGACGUGGUUUGGUUGGGUUUUUUACCAAAAUCAUAUUUCAGAAGAUAUUACAAACUUAGGCUUGAAUCCGAUGUGUUUUGAGUGAUUUGAUGUUGUUUGAGGUGUUUUGAUGAUUGGAACAAGUUUGAAUAAGGUAUUAGUAUGUGUUGGUGCCUUUUGUUGAGGUCCCGGGGGCCUCGUGUGAGUUUUGGGUGGUCAUUCAGAUCACUUGGAGUUUGAAAAAUUGCAGAAAAUUGCAGGUUCAGCUGUGUAGGAUUUUUGCCCUUCGCGAUCGCGUAGGGGCAUCGCGAUCACGUAGUAGGAUUUGAGGAUGUUGUCUGGUUGUUCUUCGCAUUCAUGAAGUGGAUCUCGCGAUCCCGUAGAUUGAUAAGGUGGUGCAUCGCGUUCGCGGGCAUGUAGUCGCGAUUGCGUAGGGUCUUUUUAUCAACUGGUCUGAGGUCGUGGUUGUUCUUCGUGUUCGCUGAAGAAGGUAUGUGUUCACGAAAGAUAAGGUUGAGGAAACAUCGUGUUCACGAUGCCCUUAUCGCAUUCGCAUAGAGUAAUUUUUGGAACCUGGAGAAUUGUUCUUCGCGAUUGCGAGGGUUGUCCCACGAUCGCGAUGAAGAAAAUGAGGUCAGGGCAGAAUGUAUUUAAACUCGUCUUAUUUGCAAAUGUGGGUCUAUUUUCACCUAUAGUUGUAUGUGUUUGGAGAUUCUUGAAGGAUAUUGAAGAUGGAUCGUCAGGAGGUAAGAUUCUUGGACUAAAAACUCAAUUAUUAUGUGAAUUCCACCUAGAAAAUCAUAAAAGCUAAGCUUAAAAUUGAAGAACUAGGUCUUCAGAAAUUGUACUUUUUAUUUGGGAUUUGAAAGACCCUUUGGGGUUGGAUUUGAGAACUUUUGAUAUGUAUGAACUCGUGGGGAGAUAAGGAAUCUAAUGAUGUGAAAAUUUUUUAAUUUCGAGAAGUGGACCCGGGGCUCGGGUUUUGGUCAAUUUUAGGAAUUUUGGUAUUUUUCGAUAGUUUUCGCUUGGGCUUUGUUCCCUAAGCAUAUUUUGACAUCAUCAUUCUGAUUUGGAUAGAUUCGACGCGCAUGGAGGCCAACUUGAGGGGCAAAGGCAUCGCGAGCUAGAGGCUUAGCUGGUUUGAAGUAAGUAAUGAUUGUAAAUGUUGUUCUGAGGGUUUGAAACAACGGAUUGCAAAUCGUAAUGCUAUAUUGAGAUGAGGAACACGCUUGAUGACGAGUGUGGAGUCGUGAACUAUUGGGGAUUGUGACUUGGUCCAUCCCAAUUGAUGAUUUUAGCGCACAUUUGAUUGGAAAACUAUUUGUCGUCAUCAUAUAUUGGGCUGAAUGCCAUAUUUGGGCACCGUGCCAACUAUUUGAACCUUUCGGAGCUUUUAUUUGAUAUUUCCUCACUGAUUUGAUUUACUACUUGAACUCAGUCAUGUUAUUUUUCACUGUUUUACUACUCAGCUACUUCUACUCAGAAUUGAGACUUAAGUGAUAUUUUAAAUGAUGUUUGGGCUAAGAAAUACUAUUUUACUAUCGCCCGAGGAGCUCGUGAUGAUUUUUGAUUGAGUAAGGCCGAUGACUUGUAUUAUGAGGAAACACUAAUACUGAUUUGAGGCCGAGGGCCUGAGAUAUAUAUGCCAUGAGGUAGCUUGAUUAAUAUGAGGCCGAGAGCCUAGAUUUGAUGCCCUGAGAAGGCUUGUUAUUGCGCUUGGGCUGUCAGGGGCCCUUCCAGGAGUCUGCACACCCCCAGUGAGCAACGGGUACCCAUUGUGAUGUGAGAUUGAGCCUGAGAGGCUGUUAUUAUUCUCAUAUGUUGCCCGAGGGGCGGAUAUAGUGAUAUUGUGCCCGAAGGGCAAACUUCUGUUUGUUUACUUUACCUUAAUUACCUGUAAAUUUAGUGUUUACUUGUUGAAAGAUGAUUUUACUUGAUUUUCCACUGGUUUACUAUUUUCAAAUGAUUUUACUGCCUCAUUAUAGAAUGCCUUGUGCAUUGCAUGUUUUCUUACUUUCAGUCGUUAUUUACAUUUGUUACUCAUUGAGUUGGAGUACUCACUUUACUUCCUGCAUCCUAUAUGUAGAUUCAGGCGUAGCUGGCUCCGCUCCUGAGUGCUGAUUCCUCCAGUUCCAGAUAAUUUUUCAAAGACUGCGAGGUAGUUGUUGCCGUCCGCAGCCGGUGUCUCUUCUAUCUUGUCAUUUCUAUUUCCUUUCAAACAAUUGUACUAGUUAUUGGACUUAGCAGACUUGUAUUAUGGCCUAUAGAUGCUCGUGACUUGUGACACCUCGGUUAGGGCUGUGUCGGGUGUAUUUCCGCAUUUAAUCGAUAUUUUGCGUUAUUUAGUACAUUUAAAUCAUGUUUAGAUUAUUUUUAUGUUAAUUAUCUUUUUUUUUUAAAGUGAAUUGGUUUUAAAUGGCUAGCCUUGUCUUCAUGACAGGAUCCAUCACGAUCGGAUUCGGGGUUAGGGUCGUGACUUGCACCCUGUGUGCAGAUUCAGGCGUAGCUGGUUCCAUUCUAGAGUGCUGAUUUCCUCCAGUUGCAGGCGGGCCUUUCGGAGAUUACGAGGUUGUUGUUGAUGUCCGCAGCCCCGUGUCUCUACUCCUCUAUCAUUUCUGUCCCUUUUCAAAUAUUUGUAGUAGUUUAUGAUUAAGUAGACUGUAUUAUGGCUCAAAGAUGAUCGUGACUUGUGACACCCCGGUUAGGGCUAUGUCGGGUUGGAUUUUCCAUAUUGUUAUCGAUAUUUUCCUCUGUUUAGUGUAUUUUAAUCAUGUUUAAAUUAAUUUUUUAUGUUGGUUAACUGCUUUAAAA